RNAcentral lists this ribosomal RNA (346 nucleotides) under uncultured bacterium. RNAcentral's name for it is "partial 16S ribosomal RNA". It matches the Rfam family "Bacterial small subunit ribosomal RNA", at positions 355 to 693 of the family's 1533-position model. The record is from RNAcentral.
UGGGGAAUAUUGCACAAUGGGCGCAAGCCUGAUGCAGCCAUGCCGCGUGUAUGAAGAAGGCCUUCGGGUUGUAAAGUACUUUCAGCGGGGAGGAAGGCGAUAAGGUUAAUAACCUUGUCGAUUGACGUUACCCGCAGAAGAAGCACCGGCUAACUCCGUGCCAGCAGCCGCGGUAAUACGGAGGGUGCAAGCGUUAAUCGGAAUUACUGGGCGUAAAGCGCACGCAGGCGGUCUGUCAAGUCGGAUGUGAAAUCCCCGGGCUCAACCUGGGAAGUGCAUUCGAAACUGGCAGGCUAGAGUCUUGUAGAGGGGGGUAGAAUUCCAGGUGUAGCGGUGAAAUGCGUAG